This 255-nucleotide ribosomal RNA is filed under the name uncultured bacterium. Its description in RNAcentral is "partial 16S ribosomal RNA". It matches the Rfam family "Bacterial small subunit ribosomal RNA", at positions 524 to 776 of the family's 1533-position model. The record is from RNAcentral.
UACGGAGGGAGCUAGCGUUAUUCGGAAUUACUGGGCGUAAAGCGCACGUAGGCGGCUUUGUAAGUAAGAGGUGAAAGCCUGGAGCUCAACUCCAGAACUGCCCUUUUUAGACUGCAUCGCUUGAAUCCAGGAGAGGUGAGUGGAAUUCCGAGUGUAGAGGUGAAAUUCGUAGAUAUUCGGAAGAACACCAGUGGCGAAGGCGGCUCACUGGCCCGAUACUGACGCUGAGGCACGAAAGCGUGGGGAGCAAACAGG